Molecule: non-coding RNA, 73 nt
Organism: Camelus ferus (Wild Bactrian camel)
Lineage: Eukaryota; Metazoa; Chordata; Mammalia; Artiodactyla; Camelidae
Source: Rfam
GGAGGGGAGAGCUCAGUGGUAGAGCGCAUGCCUAGCUUGCAUGAGGUCCUGGGUUCAAUCCCCAGUACCUCCU